RNAcentral lists this transfer RNA (81 nucleotides) under Alosa alosa (allis shad). Its description in RNAcentral is "tRNA-Ser". It matches the Rfam family "tRNA". Rfam says of the family: Transfer RNA (tRNA) molecules are approximately 80 nucleotides in length. Their secondary structure includes four short double-helical elements and three loops (D, anti-codon, and T loops). The record is from RNAcentral. Lineage: Eukaryota; Metazoa; Chordata; Actinopteri; Clupeiformes; Clupeidae.
GGUACGGUGGCUGAGUAGUUAAGGCGAUAGUUUAGAAAGCUAUUGGAGAAAUCCGCGCAGGUGCGAAUCCUGUCCGUAUCA